RNAcentral lists this ribosomal RNA (321 nucleotides) under uncultured eukaryote. RNAcentral's name for it is "partial 18S ribosomal RNA". It matches the Rfam family "Eukaryotic small subunit ribosomal RNA", at positions 1470 to 1796 of the family's 1831-position model. The record is from RNAcentral.
CCCUUAGAUGUUCUGGGCCGCACGCGUGCUACACUGAGUGGAUCAGCGGGUCAGGUUGCGCGAAAGUGUUUCCUAAUCUUGAAAUCCGCUCGUGAUGGGGAUUGACGGUUGCAAUUUUCCGUCAUGAACGGGGAAUACCUUGUAAGCGCGGGUCAUCAUCCCGCGCUGAAUACGUCCCUGCCCUUUGUACACACCGCCCGUCGCUCCUACUGAUUGGAUGGUCCGGUGAACUGGUCGGACUGAUAAUUGUCACUGCGGGUGCAGUAGCAUUACGGAAAGUCCGGUGAACCUUAUCAUCUAGAGGAAGGAGAAGUCGUAACA